CUUCGGAGCACCCAAGACAGGUGGUGCAUGGUAGUCGUCAGCUGGUGUCGUGAGAUGUUGGGUUAAGUCCCGCAACGAGCGCAACCCUUGAUGUUAGUUGCCAGCACUUGGGGUGAGGCACUCUAAGAUGACUGCCUGGUGACAAACCGGAGGAAGGUGGGGAUGACGUCAAAUCAUCAUGCCCCUUAUGACGUGGGCUACACACGUACUACAAUGGUCGGUACAACGGGAAGCGAAGCCGCGAGGUGGAGCCAAUCUUUAUAAGCCGAUAUCAGUUCGGAUUGCAGGCUGCAACUCGCUUGCAUGAAGUCGGAAUUUCUGGUAAUCGCGGAUCAGCAUGCCGCGGUGAAUACGUUCCCGGGUCUUGUACACACCGCCCGUCACACCACGAGAGUUUACAACACCCAGAAGUCGGUGGUGUAACCCGGCAAGGGAGCCAGCCGCCGAAGGUGGGGUAGAUGAUUGGGGUGAAGUCGUAACAAGGUAACCGUA
Molecule: ribosomal RNA, 492 nt
Filed under: uncultured bacterium
Lineage: Bacteria
Description: bacterial SSU rRNA
Rfam family: Bacterial small subunit ribosomal RNA
Source: RNAcentral